This 253-nucleotide ribosomal RNA is filed under the name uncultured bacterium. RNAcentral describes it as "partial 16S ribosomal RNA". It matches the Rfam family "Bacterial small subunit ribosomal RNA", at positions 524 to 776 of the family's 1533-position model. The record is from RNAcentral.
UACGGAGGAUGCAAGCGUUAUCCGGAUUUAUUGGGUUUAAAGGGUGCGUAGGCGGGGUAUUAAGUCAGUGGUGAAAGUCUGCAGCUUAACUGUAGAAUUGCCAUUGAUACUGGUACUCUUGAAUACAAUUGAGGUAGGCGGAAUGUGUAAUGUAGCGGUGAAAUGCAUAGAUAUUACACAGAACACCGAUUGCGAAGGCAGCUUACUAAAUUGUGAUUGACGCUGAGGCACGAAAGCGUGGGGAUCAAACAGG